Molecule: ribosomal RNA, 271 nt
Filed under: uncultured bacterium
Lineage: Bacteria
Description: partial 16S ribosomal RNA
Rfam family: Bacterial small subunit ribosomal RNA
Source: RNAcentral
AAAGCUUGCUUUUCUGAAUCUAGUGGCGAACGGGUGAGUAACACGUAGGUAACCUGCCCAUGUGCCCGGGAUAACUUCUGGAAACGGAUGCUAAAACCGGAUAGGUAGCAGACAAGCAUUUGACUGCUAUUAAAGUGGCCUUGGCCAUGAACAUGGAUGGACCUGCGGUGCAUUAGCUGGUUGGUGAGGUAACGGCCCACCAAGCCGACGAUCGGUAGCCGACCUGAGAGGGUGAUCGGCCACAUUGGGACUGAGACACGGCCCAAACUCC